UGCCUUUGCGAGAGCGGAGUUGGGUUCUCCUCAGCACAGACGCGGAGAGCAUCGCGAGGGCGGAGCUGCGUUCUCAUCUGCACAGAUUUCAGUGGUACUGCGAAGGCGGAGCAGAGUUCUCCUCAGAUGAUGAUUAUUCCCCACCUUCUAAGAGACAAAGACCAACGAGCCGCCACAGCCACCAGUCCCAGAACCCGCCAAUGCUGGGGAACGGAAAAUGAGGGAGUUCAACUCUGGCCCUCACAAUCCAGUGGAGGAGACGCAACUCAUCUGCCUCUGUCCCUCUGGGCACGCCUCGUGCCAGGUGCAUCUGUGGACAGGGGCCAUGCUCCUGGGCUUCCAAAGUUGGAGAAAGCUGCCAGGCUCAGGUCUGAAGGCCAGAAUUCUACAGUAAGUCCUACUGAGUCAAGGUGGGAGCAGGGUCGGUAGCUUCCGAGGCUCUGCGGGAGAAUCUGUUUCCUGGCCGUAGAGGUGGCCUGCACUCCUCAGCCUGUGCUGCCCGUCUCGAAUGACUGGAGUUUCCUGCUUCUGUCACUACACCUCCCACCCUCUCCAUCACCUGCUCUGCUCUUACAAGGAUCCGAAGAAAUGGAAUCAUCGUAUCGCUGAUCUACGUAAACAAACUGAAGAAUUGUCUGAAAGAAAAUAUGACAUGAACUUAUGAAUUCAAUAGGUGAAGAUUUACAACUUGAUAAAUCAACUUUGUCAGCUCGAGCUGUAAAAGCCAAAGGUCCGGUGAUGAUCCCAUACCCUUUUUUCCAGUCUCAUGUUGAAGAUUUUUAUGUAGAAGGCCUUCCCAAAGGAAUUUUUUUUUUUUUUUUUUUUUUGAGAUGGAGUUUUCACUCUUAUCGCCCAGGCUGGGGUGCAAUGGCACAACCUUGCUGGUCACUGCAACCUCUGCCUCCUGGGUUCAAGAAAUUCUCCUGCCUUAGCCUCCCAAGUCACUGGGAUUACAGGUGCCCACCACCACACCAGGCUAAUUUUUGUAUUUUUAGUGGAGAUGCGGUUUCACCAUGUUGGCCGGGCCAGUCUCGAACUCCUGACGUCAAGUGAUCUUCCCGCCUCGACUCCUGAUAUCAAGUGAUCUUCCCGCCUCGGCCUCCCAGAGUGCUGAGAUUACAGACGUGAACCCAUGCCUGGCCAGGAAUUUUGUUUUUUAGGAAGGCUUUCUACUAAUGGAAUUCCUGGCCUUGAGAGGAUGUUACUUUAGAAGGAAAGGAUUUUUUUGUUAUUAAAAGAGCCACCUAAGCUGAAGAUUCCCUUGAGAACAAGUACUGUCCCUAGUUUCCCAGUGCUGGAAUAUAGAAAAUGGAUGGACAACUGGACCUACCAUGAAAGACUUCUGAAUCCAGGAAGAGAAACUGACUGGGCAACAUGUUAUUCAGAGACAGCGUCUUGCUCUGUUGCUUAGGCUACAGUACAG
Molecule: long non-coding RNA, 1423 nt
Filed under: Homo sapiens (human)
Lineage: Eukaryota; Metazoa; Chordata; Mammalia; Primates; Hominidae
Description: HSALNT0395483
Source: RNAcentral